This 251-nucleotide ribosomal RNA is filed under the name uncultured bacterium. RNAcentral describes it as "partial 16S ribosomal RNA". It matches the Rfam family "Bacterial small subunit ribosomal RNA", at positions 525 to 775 of the family's 1533-position model. The record is from RNAcentral.
ACGUAGGUCACAAGCGUUGUCCGGAAUUACUGGGUGUAAAGGGAGCGCAGGCGGGAAGACAAGUUGGAAGUGAAAUCUAUGGGCUCAACCCAUAAACUGCUUUCAAAACUGUUUUUCUUGAGUAGUGCAGAAGUAGGCGGAAUUCCCGGUGUAGCGGUGGAAUGCGUAGAUAUCGGGAGGAACACCAGUGGCGAAGGCGGCCUACUGGGCACCAACUGACGCUGAGGCUCGAAAGUGUGGGUAGCAAACAG